GAUGAACGCUGGCGGCGUGCCUAAUACAUGCAAGUCGAGCGAACGGACGAGAAGCUUGCUUCUCUGAUGUUAGCGGCGGACGGGUGAGUAACACGUGGAUAACCUACCUAUAAGACUGGGAUAACUUCGGGAAACCGGAGCUAAUACCGGAUAAUAUUUUGAACCGCAUGGUUCAAAAGUGAAAGACGGUCUUGCUGUCACUUAUAGAUGGAUCCGCGCUGCAUUAGCUAGUUGGUAAGGUAACGGCUUACCAAGGCAACGAUGCAUAGCCGACCUGAGAGGGUGAUCGGCCACACUGGAACUGAGACACGGUCCAGACUCCUACGGGAGGCAGCAGUAGGGAAUCUUCCGCAAUGGGCGAAAGCCUGACGGAGCAACGCCGCGUGAGUGAUGAAGGUCUUCGGAUCGUAAAACUCUGUUAUUAGGGAAGAACAUAUGUGUAAGUAACUGUGCACAUCUUGACGGUACCUAAUCAAAAAGCCACGGCUAACUACGUG
Molecule: ribosomal RNA, 497 nt
Filed under: uncultured bacterium
Lineage: Bacteria
Description: partial 16S ribosomal RNA
Rfam family: Bacterial small subunit ribosomal RNA
Source: RNAcentral